GAGAGCCGUGUGCGGGAGAUCCGCACGCACGGUUCGGAGGGGGGAGGGGCCGAAUUCAAUCGGCUCUUCCUACCCCUAU
Molecule: non-coding RNA, 79 nt
Organism: Deltaproteobacteria bacterium
Lineage: Bacteria; Pseudomonadati; Myxococcota; Myxococcia
Source: Rfam